CAGCAACAGCAGCAUCAACACUUCUGGGCGGUCCACCAAAGCUCCUCCAGGAUUUGGGCCUAUCGCUCACAGGCCUCCGAAUGGCCCUGCUG
Molecule: non-coding RNA, 92 nt
Filed under: Ctenophora environmental sample
Lineage: Eukaryota; Metazoa; Ctenophora
Source: RNAcentral